Setaria italica (foxtail millet) is the source of this 2593-nucleotide long non-coding RNA. RefSeq lists it as uncharacterized. NCBI's taxonomy places the organism in Eukaryota, Viridiplantae, Streptophyta, Magnoliopsida, Poales, Poaceae. The record is from RefSeq and is a predicted model, not a curated record. The transcript is spliced from 3 exons.
UCAAGCGUCCCCUUCUUCCCCCCUCCCCCUCCUCGGCUCCUACCCUCAAGCUCACUCAACUCAACAAACCUCCAAACGCAAUCCUCCCAAACCCUAGCGAUGGAGUAGCCGAUACGCCUCGCCCGGCCGCCCUCGCUCCACCCGGUCCUGCCGCCGCUGCUCCGCCUACCUCCCGACCGCGACCGCGCCGACGAGGUGAGCGGUGCAAAUGCAGGGGUAAAAAUUCUUCUUUGUGCCAGGGGCUUGAGCUGUGCGCCUCUGCGAAGAAAGUGUGUAUCCACUUUCUGGUAAUUUCUGUUUGAUGAAUGACUCAGAGCAUGCUCAACUGCAGUUGGUAGCAUUAUAUGUGAGUGCUUCUUGUGCAGUUUUCCGCCCCCAGAGAAUAUGGUUGAGUGCAACAAGGAAGAGGCCUUCAGGGCCAGGGAAAUCGCUAUAAAAAAGAUGGAAAGUAAUGAUUUUGUUGGUGCCCGGAAGAUUGUACUUGAAGCUCAAAGGCUAUUCCCAGAGCUUGAGAGUAUAUCCCAUCUGUUAACUGUCUGCAAUGUUCACUGUGCAGCAGAGGUAAGAGUGAACGGAGAGAUGGAUUGAUAUGGAAUUUUCCGAGUGGAGGAAGCAGCCAAUGAAGCCAUCAUAAGAAAGCAAUACCUCAAUCUUACCAGUUCACUUCAUACUGAUAAGAAAAGGUUUCCUGGUGCUGAAGCUGCUUUCAAGCUGGUUUCUGAAGCUUAUUCUAUCCUGCACGAAUCAAUGAAGAGAUAUAGGUAUGACAUCAAAACGAACAGAAAUGCAUUUUGGACCAAGUGCCCAUCCUGUAAGACACAAUAUCAGUACUACUUCCGGAUCCUGAAUAAGAAGGUCUACUGCCAGCAAUGUGGAAGGAGAUUUUUUGCAUCUGCUUUAAAGGAACAGGCCAUGCCCACUUCGUUAGGUGCACAGAUUCCUGUGAAAGCAUUUCGAACUCGAAAAUGUCAAAGGCAUGACACUUGCAGUCAACAAGGCCACCACGUGAAGCCUCCUGCAGGCCAAGUUCGGAUGUGGAAGUUCAAUUUUCAACACUGAAUCAAGAUAAGUCUUCAGUUCCAACUGAAAAUGAUAAUAUGCAUGCAAGGCUGAUGCCAGAUCCUCCUAAUCCAAACAUGGUUGGUACACACAAUUCUGGUAUAGAAGAUGCAUUUACAGUGGCAGAUGCUCCACAUGUUCCUAGUUCUGCAAAACAUUCUUCUGCAGGUGGAAAAACAGAUGGACAGCCAAGUAUUGGUCAGUCAGCGAUGUUACAUGAGGGAGUUGGUUUUCCAAUGGAAAAAAAAUAAUACAGGAGAACGAUCUAUGCCAUACCCUGCUGAUCCAAAGAUUGUUGACCCAGAGAACAUGGGUUUGGUGGAGGAUGCUGAAGUGCUGAGUGCUGCAGUGGAGACAAGUAAGAGAAAACAAGAUGCUGAUGAAAACACUAUCCUGAACUCAGAUAGCAACAAGUGGCAAGGGAAGAAUGAUUCGCCGUCAGCUCAUGUUGACACCAGCUGCAAGCAAAUAUCAGAAGAUAAUGCCACCAGGGCCGACAGACAACUAACUCCUCCAACUCAUGCGUCCAGCGAAGCAACCAUCAAAGAGAAGUUAAGAACCACAGGUACAUGUGACCAGGACACAGAUACCUCUCCUGAACUGGAUACAACCUUGCAGGAAAACACCCAUGGUGCCAAUCAACUCGGCAGCAGCCAACUCUCCCCCUGUAUUUAUAAAUAUCCUACCCUGAAUUCCACAGAUUUGAAGAAGACCGCUCGCCUGAGAUGUUUAAACGUGGGCAGAUAUGGGCUUUGUAUGAUGAUGAUGAUGCUGAUACAUUCCCCAAGCUCUACGGCUGUAUAACAAAAGUUGAGCCAGAUCCUUUUGCGGUGCGUCUGAUCUGGCUCAAGGCCUUCCCUCAGAAGGAGCAGGAGAAACGGUGGAUGGGGCAGGGGAUAACCAUCAGCUGUGGCACAUUCAGAGUUAUGAAUCAGGGAGCUCGGUACGACACGACUUGCUGUUUCUCUCAUCUAGUAGAAGACACUGGAACCACUACACUGUUCGAGGUUGAGAUUCUUCCACAAGUAGGCAGGUUUGGGCUGUGUACAUGAACUGGGAGCCUGACUGGUCUCCUUCCAGCAUAAAUGCUUUGUUCAAACCUGAUGAUGGAAGGGGGGUCUUGGAGAUCCCUACUGGUGAAAACACGAGGCUCUCGCACCGCAUACCUUGCUUCCGUCUGACCGGAGGAGGCGGCGGCGAGCACCGUGUCCUGUACGAGUUGGAUCCUCCUUCCGUCCCUUGCGGUUUCCUGUGCAGCGACCUGCGAGGACACCCCGUGACUUGCAAGUGUCUCUAGUGGACUGAUCUUGAGGUAGUGGUAGCAUUGAUCAAACCUUUUGGAUUUUUAUGUGCCUUUGAUUCGCUAUACCUGGUAUAUAUCGAAGCCUUUUGGUAUGCAUCAAGUCCAUGCCAGCAUGUGGAUGGUAACGCAGAGGCUUCCUUCCUUGUCCAUUGUCAAUUUGCAGAGCUUUUAGGCCUGCAUUAUGUUUCUAACCUGAAGAGUUGAUUUUAGCAAGUCUCGUCUAGUACCUAA